RNAcentral lists this transfer RNA (52 nucleotides) under Camptotheca acuminata. RNAcentral's name for it is "tRNA-Leu". Lineage: Eukaryota; Viridiplantae; Streptophyta; Magnoliopsida; Cornales; Nyssaceae. The record is from RNAcentral. RNAcentral also lists the same sequence under 2 other names.
GGGCUAUUAGCUCAGUGGUAGAGCGCGCCCCUGAUAAGUCCAGGAUGGCCCA